UACGUAGGGUGCAAGCGUUGUCCGGAUUUAUUGGGCGUAAAGAGCUCGUAGGCGGUUUGUUACGUCGGAUGUGAAAUCCUGGAGCUUAACUCCGGGCCUGCAUUCGAUACGGGCAGACUCGAGUGUUGUAGGGGAGACUGGAACUCCUGGUGUAGCGGUGAAAUGCGCAGAUAUCAGGAAGAACACCGAUGGCGAAGGCAGGUCUCUGGGCAACUACUGACGCUGAGGAGCGAAAGCGUGGGGAGCAAACAGGAUUAGAAACCCUUGUAGU
RNAcentral lists this ribosomal RNA (271 nucleotides) under uncultured bacterium. Its description in RNAcentral is "partial 16S ribosomal RNA". It matches the Rfam family "Bacterial small subunit ribosomal RNA", at positions 524 to 794 of the family's 1533-position model. The record is from RNAcentral.